This 651-nucleotide ribosomal RNA is filed under the name Salmonella enterica subsp. enterica serovar Infantis. Its description in RNAcentral is "partial 23S ribosomal RNA". It matches the Rfam family "Bacterial large subunit ribosomal RNA", at positions 2152 to 2802 of the family's 2925-position model. The record is from RNAcentral. RNAcentral also lists the same sequence under 1 other name. Lineage: Bacteria; Pseudomonadati; Pseudomonadota; Gammaproteobacteria; Enterobacterales; Enterobacteriaceae.
AGGCUUUGAAGCGUGGACGCCAGUCUGCGUGGAGCCGACCUUGAAAUACCACCCUUUAAUGUUUGAUGUUCUAACGUGGAUCCGUAAUCCGGGUUGCGGACAGUGUCUGGUGGGUAGUUUGACUGGGGCGGUCUCCUCCUAAAGAGUAACGGAGGAGCACGAAGGUUGGCUAAUCCUGGUCGGACAUCAGGAGGUUAGUGCAAUGGCAUAAGCCAGCUUGACUGCGAGCGUGACGGCGCGAGCAGGUGCGAAAGCAGGUCAUAGUGAUCCGGUGGUUCUGAAUGGAAGGGCCAUCGCUCAACGGAUAAAAGGUACUCCGGGGAUAACAGGCUGAUACCGCCCAAGAGUUCAUAUCGACGGCGGUGUUUGGCACCUCGAUGUCGGCUCAUCACAUCCUGGGGCUGAAGUAGGUCCCAAGGGUAUGGCUGUUCGCCAUUUAAAGUGGUACGCGAGCUGGGUUUAGAACGUCGUGAGACAGUUCGGUCCCUAUCUGCCGUGGGCGCUGGAGAACUGAGGGGGGCUGCUCCUAGUACGAGAGGACCGGAGUGGACGCAUCACUGGUGUUCGGGUUGUCAUGCCAAUGGCACUGCCCGGUAGCUAAAUGCGGAAGAGAUAAGUGCUGAAAGCAUCUAAGCACGAAACUUGCCCCGA